GCCGGGCACGGUGGCGGGCGCCUGUAGUCCCAGCUACUUGGGAGGCUGAGGUAGGAAGAUUGCUUGAGCCCAGGAGUUCUGGACUGUAGUGCGCUAUGCUGACUGGGUGUCCACACUGUUUGGCAUCAGUAUGGUGACCUCUUGGGAGCGGGGGACCACCAGGUUGCCUAAGGAGGGGUGAACCAGCCCAGGUUGGAAAUGGAGCAGGUCAAAACUCCUGUGCUGAUCAGUAGUGGGAUCGCGCCUGUGAACUGCACUCCAGCCUAGGCAACAUAGCAAGACCCCAUCUCUA
Molecule: unclassified non-coding RNA, 292 nt
Organism: Callithrix jacchus (white-tufted-ear marmoset)
Lineage: Eukaryota; Metazoa; Chordata; Mammalia; Primates; Cebidae
Rfam family: Metazoan signal recognition particle RNA
About the family: The signal recognition particle (SRP) is a universally conserved ribonucleoprotein.
Source: Ensembl